CAAAGGUAGUUUAUAAAAAUAUAGACUUUGGGAGUCUAAGAUGUUAGUUUAUCUAGCUCUUUGA
RNAcentral lists this transfer RNA (64 nucleotides) under Ophiocten ludwigi. Its description in RNAcentral is "tRNA-Pro". Lineage: Eukaryota; Metazoa; Echinodermata; Ophiuroidea; Amphilepidida; Ophiuridae. The record is from RNAcentral.